AAAGCCUUUUAGGUGGUCCUGAUGUCCACGGUGAUGAUCCCGUUGUCAUUAAACGACAGAUAAAAAAGCAAAUACCUUCAUUGGCACAAGCAAAAUAUUCAACCUUUUUCUCAAAGACAAAGAAUGUCCAGAAGAUGACUGAGAUGGGUCACUAUAUGGAUGUCAGUGUUCAGCCUGCAAGAAAACAAAAGUCCCUUAAAGAAGUGACUCUGUCUGCAGACGGAGCAGAGGAUAGACCUCUCCAAAAGAUGGUGCGCGUGAUCCGAGGUGACAGCCUCUGCUCCUCCGAUACAUCCUAUGACUCUUCACCCAUCAGCUC
Melanotaenia boesemani (Boeseman's rainbowfish) is the source of this 319-nucleotide long non-coding RNA. RefSeq lists it as uncharacterized. Lineage: Eukaryota; Metazoa; Chordata; Actinopteri; Atheriniformes; Melanotaeniidae. The record is from RefSeq and is a predicted model, not a curated record. The transcript is spliced from 3 exons.